Molecule: ribosomal RNA, 1162 nt
Filed under: Bacteroidales bacterium WCE2004
Lineage: Bacteria; Pseudomonadati; Bacteroidota; Bacteroidia; Bacteroidales
Description: bacterial SSU rRNA
Rfam family: Bacterial small subunit ribosomal RNA
Source: RNAcentral
AUACAAAGAAGAGUUUGAUCCUGGCUCAGGAUGAACGCUAGCGGCAGGCUUAACACAUGCAAGUCGAGGGGCAGCGGAGAGUAGCAAUACUCUGCCGGCGACCGGCGAAAGGGUGCGUAACGCGUGAGCAACUUGCCCGUAUCCGGGACAUAAGCGGUGGAAACGCCGUCUAAUUUCCCAUAACAACAGAGGCCGCAUGACCUUUGUUUGAAAGAUCCGUCGGAUACGGAUGGGCUCGCGAGACAUUAGCUAGUCGGCGUGGUAACGGCACACCGAGGCGACGAUGUCUAGGGGUUCUGAGAGGAAGGUCCCCCACACUGGAACUGAGACACGGUCCAGACUCCUACGGGAGGCAGCAGUGAGGAAUAUUGGUCAAUGGGCGCAAGCCUGAACCAGCCAUGCCGCGUGAAGGAAUAAGGCCCUAUGGGUCGUAAACUUCUUUUGUGGUGGAGCAAUAAGGUGCACGUGUGCAUCGAUGAGAGUACAUCACGAAUAAGCAUCGGCUAACUCCGUGCCAGCAGCCGCGGUAAUACGGAGGAUGCAAGCGUUAUCCGGAUUUAUUGGGUUUAAAGGGUGCGUAGGCUGUUCGACAAGUCAGGGGUGAAAGCCCAGUGCCUAACACUGGAACUGCCUUUGAUACUGCCGAGCUGGAAUACGGAUGCCGUGGGAGGAAUGAGUAGUGUAGCGGUGAAAUGCAUAGAUAUUACUCAGAACACCGAUUGCGAAGGCAUCUCACGAAUCCGUCAUUGACGCUGAGGCACGAAAGCGUGGGGAUCAAACAGGAUUAGAUACCCUGGUAGUCCACGCAGUAAACGAUGAUAACUAACCGUCGGCGAUACACAGUCGGUGGCCAAGCGAAAGCGAUAAGUUAUCCACCUGGGGAGUACGUUCGCAAGAAUGAAACUCAAAGGAAUUGACGGGGGCCCGCACAAGCGGAGGAACAUGUGGUUUAAUUCGAUGAUACGCGAGGAACCUUACCCGGGCUCGAACGGCAAGUGAAGGAUCAAGAGAUUGUGACGCCCUUCGGGGCACUUGUCGAGGUGCUGCAUGGUUGUCGUCAGCUCGUGUCGUGAGAUGUUGGCUUAAGUGCCAUAACGAGCGCAACCCUUGUCGCCAGUUACCAGCAAGUCAUGUUGGGGACUCUGGCGAGACUGCCACCGCA